Molecule: long non-coding RNA, 1345 nt
Organism: Saccostrea echinata
Lineage: Eukaryota; Metazoa; Mollusca; Bivalvia; Ostreida; Ostreidae
Exons: 2
Source: RefSeq, a predicted model, not a curated record
CUGUAUCGACAUACCGUAGGAUAAGAACAGAAUGUCGUCAAUUUUCACAUUAACGCUCCUGCUGAUUUUGUGUAACCUCUCGUUUGAAAAUGGCAAGAAAAUCACGGUUUGGAUUAAUGGAAAAGCCAUACAUUUAGAUUUGACCAAAAGGAAAGCUGGAUAUGGCUUAAAGGAUGCUACUGAAAUAAGCGAUAAUUCUACCACAGUCUACCUUGCAGAAUCGUUGUGCAGGUCUUGUGAUAAACUUGCAGGAGAAGUCCGAAAAAGUAGAUGUAGGAAGAAGCUGUGUGAGGAUGACGAGUUGGAAAAUGUUGAAAUGAAAAUAGAAAUAUAGUUGAAAUGAAACUAACUGUAUACAUGUGGACAUUUUUAUGACUUGAGAAAAUUUAACGUAAUAGUUUUUUUGUUAAAUUAGAUUUCUCUUGUGAAUCAAUUGCGAUCAGCUUUAAAUAUCGACGGGCAGUUUUUGUCUUUUAAAAAGGUUUUUCGUAUCACAGUUUAUACAAAAAAAAAUCAAUACACUUAAAUUAAUUUGAAUUAUAAAUGAAAUAAAAGAACUAUGAUUUAAUUCUACAAGUGGCAAUCCAACUUAUACCCAUAGCUCCCUUUCUAAGGAGGAAAUUCUUCAAAAAAGGUUUUUCGUAUCACAGUUUAUACAAAAAAAUUCAAUACACUUAAAUUAAUUUGAAUUAUAAAUGAAAUAAAAGAACUAUGAUUUAAUUCUACAAGUGGCAAUCCAACUUAUACCCAUAGCUCCCUUUCUAAGGAGGAAAUUCUUCAAAAAAGGUUUUUCGUAUCACAGUUUAUACAAAAAAAUUCAAUACACAUAAAUUAAUUUGAAUUAUAAAUAAAAUAAAAGAACUAUGAUUUAAUUCUACAAGUGGUAAUCCAACUUAUACCCAUAGCUCCCUUUCUAAGGAGGAAAUUCUUCAAAAUCAUAUUUUUAAUAUUCCCAACAACGAAAAUUAAUUUGAAUUAGAACAUUUAUAUUGGAUUCCGAAACUUCAUUUUAAAAAAACUUUACAAGCAAAGAUACAAAGCAGGUUCCAGUAAAUGUUCUACCAAGCGUCUUUAUUUACUCCUCACUAAAAUAUUAAGAGCAGUGAAGGAGAAACUUCAGGACUACUGUGCAACAAUAUAUUCGAGAAGUGGUGUAAAUCAGAUAUGGAUACUUAAAAAUUCCAAGGAACUUUUGGAAAAUUUGAAAUCACCAAAUUUUACCGAAAUCAAUAACAUAAAAACUUACGAUUUUCUACUCUCUAUAUAACCAAUGAUAAAUAAAAGUCCAGGCUUUUUGACAUCACUGACGACUGCUUUUUCAAUAAAUUUGGAACUCGUAAAUUUA